This 529-nucleotide long non-coding RNA is filed under the name Elaeis guineensis (African oil palm). Its description in RNAcentral is "long non-coding RNA (EGUI_LNC033578)". Lineage: Eukaryota; Viridiplantae; Streptophyta; Magnoliopsida; Arecales; Arecaceae. The record is from RNAcentral.
UCUGGUGGCUGAUGAAAUUCUACAAGUCUCAUCAGAUGAGGGCCUCUAUCUCCCUCUUGAGCUAAAAAUAGUCUUCAAUGUUGUGAUCGUGAUUUUUAUGGAUAUGGCAGCACUUUGACCAAUCACACCAAGAUUGGGUCUGCUCAUUCAUCUUACCAAGCCAUCGGAGGAUGUCCUGGUUCUUUAUCUCCAUCAAGAUCUGCCUUCCAGAUGUGUUCAGAGGCAUGAAGUCCUCGAACCACUGAGGACUCCAAGGGCAAUGGGGAGGACUCUUGUUGGACUUCUGCUUCUUCGGCUGGGGGGCUGCAUGGUCCUCCCUAGCCCUUUUUUAAUCUGACUUCUCUCUCCGUUUCUCUGUCAUCCCUUCCUCAUUGGUGAUGUACUUAUCGACUCGGGUGAAAUGCUUGGAUAAAUCAUGGGAAAACUUCUUCAAGAGAGAAAAGUAGAAAUUGCCUGCCUUCAACCCUUUCUUAAGGGUCACAUCAUGACUGAAUGGUCCAGAUUACAGACUUCCAAUAUGACCACUUUG